UUUGUGAACAGAUUCAGGAUUCGACAAAUAUAAGCUUGUUGUGCAGGUGGUCAUUGGAGAACAGCGAGGGCAGGGAGUCAAGAUGUCUUCCAGGUGUUUUUGGGAUGCUGACACAGACAGCUAUGCAGAGGAUGUUUUCAUGAAUGACAGCUUGUUCUGUGUGGUUGCAGUUUUUGGAAGCUAUUACUACUGAGGAAGAGAGGAUGGACCACAGGAAAA
Non-coding RNA from Neolamprologus brichardi, 219 nucleotides. Lineage: Eukaryota; Metazoa; Chordata; Actinopteri; Cichliformes; Cichlidae. The record is from RefSeq and is a predicted model, not a curated record.